RNAcentral lists this transfer RNA (66 nucleotides) under Parasesarma tripectinis. Its description in RNAcentral is "tRNA-His". It matches the Rfam family "tRNA". From Rfam's summary of the family: Transfer RNA (tRNA) molecules are approximately 80 nucleotides in length. The record is from RNAcentral. Lineage: Eukaryota; Metazoa; Arthropoda; Malacostraca; Decapoda; Sesarmidae.
ACUCAGAUAGUUUAAUAAAAAAUGUUAGUUUGUGGAACUUAAGAUGUAAAAGUAUUACUUUGAGUA